RNAcentral lists this ribosomal RNA (198 nucleotides) under uncultured bacterium. RNAcentral's name for it is "partial 16S ribosomal RNA". It matches the Rfam family "Bacterial small subunit ribosomal RNA", at positions 328 to 539 of the family's 1533-position model. The record is from RNAcentral.
ACGCUCGACACCUACGGGAGGCAGCAGUCGGGAAUAUUGCGCAAUGGAGGAAACUCUGACGCAGUGACGCCGCGUAUAGGAAGAAGGUUUUCGGAUUGUAAACUAUUGUCGUUAGGGAAGAAAAAAGACAGUACCUAAGGAGGAAGCUCCGGCUAACUACGUGCCACAGCCGCGGUAAUCUGAGCGGGCUGGCAAGGC